Molecule: long non-coding RNA, 444 nt
Filed under: Oryctolagus cuniculus (rabbit)
Lineage: Eukaryota; Metazoa; Chordata; Mammalia; Lagomorpha; Leporidae
Description: lncRNA (ENSOCUG00000030731.1)
Source: RNAcentral
GUGAAAGUAUCUAUUCACUGACAAAGCUAACAGGUGCCAACUAAUUAUAGUUUUCCUCUUCACUAAUAUCAUGGAGUUACUUGAAAGGAAAGAUUGAAGAAACAAUCUAGCUUUUAAGAGAAUCGUUUUGCUAAGAGUCAUCAGUUCAGGCCAAAGGAGAGAUGAACUUUUCAUAACUUAACAAGCCCCAGCCUUCAACACCACCGUUUACAACUUGGCAUUCAACAAAGAAAAUUCCAGAAAACUCUCUCAGAUAUUUUGUGUUCUACAAAUAUCAACUCUGGCAGGAAAUCUUCAAUCAGUGAUAAAAUGUAAGGGAUCUUCAAAAAUUUCAUGUAAAAUGCGUAUCUACUGACUGGACUUAGAUAAAUUUGUGAAAUCCAAAUGACUGUUAUUUCCAUUAGAUGUAGGGGUCCAAAUAAAAUCAGAUUUCAAAUUUCUUCA